This 446-nucleotide long non-coding RNA is filed under the name Trifolium pratense (red clover). RNAcentral describes it as "long non-coding RNA (TPRA_LNC009130)". Lineage: Eukaryota; Viridiplantae; Streptophyta; Magnoliopsida; Fabales; Fabaceae. The record is from RNAcentral.
CUGAUAUCCUCUUCAUAGGAAAAUAAGUGCUAAUUCAGUAAUUUAGCGUCAGGUUUUUCAGUUGAGAUUAUUAGGUAAUUUAGCUACUCGUGUUCUUGCGGCUCACAGCCAACAAGAGAAGGAAAAAUUUUAAAGAGCUUAAUUGGGUUUGUCCUAUACUUUUAUAAUUUAAACACUUUUGUAACAGUGUGGUGCUUGAAAGAGCUUAUGAUAUAAAGUAUAAACGAAUAUGUAGAGCUUAUGUGAAAUUUUUCUUUGAACAACUUAUGCAUAAGCACCUGUUUAAGUUGUCUUAAGAUGCUCUCUCAAUAUGAAAUGUGGAAUGUUGCUGAGUGAUAAGUUGAUUGCUGUUGGUUGGAAAUCUGCUCUGCAGAAAACUGUGCCUUCUGAUUUGUAAUAACAAUGCCCGCAAAAUUUAAUUGUAGAUAGUUUCAUUUCAGAACGAA